This 259-nucleotide ribosomal RNA is filed under the name uncultured prokaryote. Its description in RNAcentral is "partial 16S ribosomal RNA". It matches the Rfam family "Bacterial small subunit ribosomal RNA", at positions 524 to 782 of the family's 1533-position model. The record is from RNAcentral.
UACGUAGGUGGCAAGCGUUAUCCGGAAUUAUUGGGCGUAAAGAGCGCGCAGGUGGUUGAUUAAGUCUGAUGUGAAAGCCCACGGCUUAACCGUGGAGGGUCAUUGGAAACUGGUCGACUUGAGUGCAGAAGAGGGAAGUGGAAUUCCAUGUGUAGCGGUGAAAUGCGUAGAGAUAUGGAGGAACACCAGUGGCGAAGGCGGCUUCCUGGUCUGCAACUGACACUGAGGCGCGAAAGCGUGGGGAGCAAACAGGAUUAGA